CUCAGAUCACGUAAAUUAUUAAUAGUCGAACAGACUAUUCAUUUUAGCUCCUACACCUAAAAUACAAUUUAAUUCAACAUCGAGGUCGCAAACCUAAUUAUUAAUAAGAACUUGCUAAUUAAAUAACGCUGUUAUCCCUAGAGUAACUAUUAAACCCUAAUUAUAAAAAUUAAAAAUUUAUAUCUUUAAAAAUUGCCCCAAUCAAAAAUUUUCAUAAAAUUUUAAGCUUCUAGGGUCUUCUCGUCCCAAAGAUUUAUAAAAGAAUUUUUACUUUUAAUCUAAAUUCAAAAUUAUUUAAUAAAACUUUCCAUUCAGUAUCUACCCUUCAUUCCAGUCCUCAAUUAAAGAA
RNAcentral lists this ribosomal RNA (349 nucleotides) under Metasarcidae sp. 3 MA-2018. RNAcentral describes it as "partial large subunit ribosomal RNA". Lineage: Eukaryota; Metazoa; Arthropoda; Arachnida; Opiliones; Metasarcidae. The record is from RNAcentral.